RNAcentral lists this ribosomal RNA (439 nucleotides) under uncultured bacterium. RNAcentral's name for it is "bacterial SSU rRNA". It matches the Rfam family "Bacterial small subunit ribosomal RNA", at positions 338 to 793 of the family's 1533-position model. The record is from RNAcentral.
CCUACGGGGGGCAGCAGUCGGGAAUAUUGCGCAAUGGAGGAAACUCUGACGCAGUGACGCCGCGUGCAGGAAGAAGGUUUUCGGAUUGUAAACUGCUUUAGACAGGGAAGAAACAAGACAGUACCUGUAGAAUAAGCUCCGGCUAACUACGUGCCAGCAGCCGCGGUAAUACGUAGGGAGCAAGCGUUAUCCGGAUUUAUUGGGUGUAAAGGGUGCGUAGACGGGAAAGCAAGUUAGUUGUGAAAUCCCUCGGCUUAACUGAGGAACUGCAACUAAAACUACUUUUCUUGAGUGCUGGAGAGGAAAGUGGAAUUCCUAGUGUAGCGGUGAAAUGCGUAGAUAUUAGGAGGAACACCAGUGGCGAAGGCGACUUUCUGGACAGUAACUGACGUUGAGGCACGAAAGUGUGGGGAGCAAACAGGAUUAGAUACCCCAGUAG